UUCCAAUUCCACUCCUCACUCCCGCCACAAUCUUCGCCGCUCUUAAGUUUAAUCCUCAAAAAAUCACCUCUCGUUUAUCAUAGCCGCCGGUCGGAGGAAUAUUUCGCUGAAUUUAUAAUUGCUAUAGGUAUUAGGUGCCUGGGGAUUGGGUUGGGAAAUUUGGAUGGAUGGAAUGGAGAUUACUCAGUUCACUUACUUCCACCAGGCUGGAAGUCUUCCAUUGAUGCCUGUUUCAGUUGAAAUUACCUAUGAUCUUGAGCGAAUCAUUAUGUUGCUUCAGGGAGUUGAUCACUUCAAGAAAAUUUGAUAUGCUGAUGGAAUAACAUACGGGGAGCUUUUUCUGAAAAAAUGAGAAGGAGAUGAGUGCUUAUUAUCUAGAGCAUGCCAGUGUAGAUCACAUUCAUAGUCAUUUUGAUCAAUUCGAGGCUGAAGCUCGCCGCUUGCUUGACUUGGGCGUUGCGAUUCCUGCGUAUACUGUAUGAUCAGCUUUUGAAGACAUCUCAUGCUUUCAAUGUCUUGGACUCUAGAGGAUUUGUGGGGGUAACAGAACGUGCUCGUUAUUUUGGGCGUAUGCGAAGUCUCAGCAUUACUACGAAGCUGCUUCGUGAAAAGGAAGCAAUCAGAAGGAUCUGCUCUGUCAAUCUGGUGGUCAAUAAAUCUAUAGGACCUCUACACACCACACUACUUGCUUUGCAGACACUUAGACUGCUGCUUUUCCCUAGACAACCACUAACAGCUUUCUUGGACAUUUGUCGCACUCCUAAAGAUUAUUAGCUCUCUCUUUCUUUGUGAAUCAGUGUGUAAUUGGGCCUUUGGUUGUAUUCUUUGGUGUAUAAUCUAUGUAAUACUUAGUAUGGUUUAGCCCAAGUGCAAAAUUUUUAAAAUGAUUAGCUUUAUUUCCAGGCUGGUGGUUUAUUCAUGUUGUCUUUUCCCAUCUCACAUAGGUUUCUGGACGACCUCUGCCUUUUAUUCUUGAAAUUGGGACGGAGGAGUUGCCGCCAAAUGAUGUUGUUAAUGCUUGCAAUCAACUAAAAGAUUUAGUCAAGCAGUUACUGGAUAAACAAAGAUUGAGUCAUGGAGAUGUGGAAACAUUUGGAACUCCACGUAGGCUUGUGGUCCAUGUCAAUGACCUGAUUGCCAAGCAGGUGGCCAAUGAAGUUGAGGUUUGAGUUGUGUGAUUAAAUACGUCAGAAACUCAGAAAUGUAAAUGACCUCUGGCAUGUAUGCCUAUGGCUAUUCUUAUAAGUUACUUACCCUGCACUAUAAGGCUUACCUCGUAGUGUGUUACUGUUUUAGUAGAAGAGAGGAGAGAGAGAGAGAGAGAGAGAGAGAGAGAGAGAGAGAGAGUAAAUGUGGUCCACGCUGCUCUUUUUUAUUGUUUAUUUAAAAAUUACUCUUAUUCACCGGUGCUUGGGUUAAACCCUCCUAUCGAACCGGAGUUUCUACAUUUUCUUAUCCAAUUCCACUCCUCACUCCCGCCACAAUCUUCGCCGCUCUUAAGUUUAAUCCUCAAAAAAUCACCUCUCCUUUAUCGUAGCCGCCGGUCGGAGGAAUAUUUUUCCCAAUUCUUUAUAUUUGUCCAUUCGCUAAUUUUUAAUUGCUAUAGGUAUUGAUGUUGACGACCACAACAUUCGCUUUGUAUUGAUUCGUGUUGUGGUUACUGCUUAGUUGUAGCUUACGAUUCAGUUUUUUAUUUUCAUGAUUACAAGGUUACAUAGUUAAACAAAUGUGUCUUAUCUUCCAAUUUGCUUGUAGGUAUUAUGUGCCUGGGGAUUGGGUUGGGAAGUUUGGAUGGAUGGAAUGGAGAUUACUCAAUUCGCCUACUUCCAUCAGGCUGGAAGUCUUCCAUUGAUGCCUGUUUCAGUUGAAAUUACCUAUGGUCUUGAGCGAAUCUUUAUGUUGCUUCAGGAAGGAGAUGAGUGCAUAUAGUCUGGAGCAUCCAGUGCAGAUCAAAAUAAUAGUCAUUUCGAUCAAUUUGAGGCUGAAGCUCAUCGCUUGCUUGACUCGGGCCUUGCAAUUCCUGCAUAUUUUUCUGUACUGUUCUACCACUUUCUUGCAUUAUAGUCAAUUAAGGAAUUUUCUGGUUUUUUAUGUUGCAGUUCACAUCCUUCUCUAUAUUUUUCUUUAAGGUUAGGUAUGAUCUGCUUUUAAAGACAUCUCAUUGCUUUCAAUGUCUAGGACUCUAGAGGAUUUGUUGGGGUGACAGAAUGUGCUAGUUAUUUUGGGCGUAUGCAUAGUCUUGGCAGAGCAAUCUAUAUUGGAAAAGCGAUGCGAUGCGAUGCCCGACUCUCCUACCAGAUCCUUAGUCGGCCGAGGACAUUGUUAUUUCAGAUGUUGAACUAGAUAUGUUUGAUGUAUACAUGCUAAUCUCAUCUAUGUUAUGUUUCACUGAAGCUCAACUUUAUGACUCCACAGCCUAUGUUAUGGUUCAUAUAUAACAACAAGCUUCAUUCUCGGCUCGGGAGCGACCAAAAAUCCAACAUGCGUAUUGCAUGAGGAUAAGGAUA
This is a long non-coding RNA of Salvia splendens (bonfire salvia), 2507 nucleotides long. RefSeq lists it as uncharacterized. NCBI's taxonomy places the organism in Eukaryota, Viridiplantae, Streptophyta, Magnoliopsida, Lamiales, Lamiaceae. The record is from RefSeq and is a predicted model, not a curated record. The transcript is spliced from 12 exons.